RNAcentral lists this long non-coding RNA (1018 nucleotides) under Capra hircus (goat). Its description in RNAcentral is "lncRNA (ENSCHIG00010024427.1)". The record is from RNAcentral. Lineage: Eukaryota; Metazoa; Chordata; Mammalia; Artiodactyla; Bovidae.
GAACCUUUGAGAUUUUCACAAACGGAUCCUCUUGAAGUCUCGAGGAUUAGAAUCAUCAUAAAUCCAUACCCAUCCAGUACCCUGGCUCUUCCAACAGGCUACGUUCCUCUGACCCUUUUCCCACGACCUUGGCUCCUCCUCUGCCGACAGCGCCCCAGGGGCUCCUCUCAGCCUCCUACACAGAGAGAAGGACAGGACAGACGGACAGCCCAAAGCCAUCAGGGCGCCCACUCCAUCGAGGCGGCCAGCAACCUUCGGAACCCGAGAGCGCCGCACGCGCCCGCCACCUGCACGGCCACCGGGUCUCAGAUCACGCCAUCCCCACUCGGGAGCCCGACCCUCGCGCGGGCGGCUCCGAGGCUCAGCGCGGACUCCCGAGAGCCGGCCCGGAGCCGCCAGGGGGCGAGAGGGAGCAGCCAGCCCGGCGCCUCCCCGCCUCGUUCCCUUCCCCCGAGCCUCCCUCCACUCACGGAUUUUCACUCGGCGGUGGUCCAGGCGCGCGGUGGCGGCGUGCAGGGCGUCGAGGCGGCGGUGCAGCGCGGCGGUGCGGCGGCCCAGGGCAGCCGCCUGGCUCUCGAGCUCGCCGAAGAUGUCCCCGGCGCAGCNUCACAGUGUUAGAACGUGAAUAGAUAUUGGAAUAUUCAUGGAGAAAACAUGAAAUGAUGCUCAAAAACUAAUUAGAUGAAGCAAUAUUAUUAAAACAUUUUUCCCUUAAAUAAAUGCUUGAAAGCCAGGUCUGGCUCAAGAUGCCACUAUGAGAACCAUGACACUGCCUGCCUCAGUGGGCCAUCUCCACCCCUCUGCUGCUGACAGAACUCGCCUUGUGUACUGGUAUGUCCAGCCUCUGAAAUAAGUCAUGAUCUUUCUGUCCCAUCCUGUUCUGACAGUUAGUGGUCAGGUGUGACCCAACUAUAAGCCAAUAAAUUUUAAGGGGAAGUGGGAGGUUUCAAGAAAUAUUCACCUCCUUGAUGAGACGAGAAAGAAAAGAAGGCUCUCUCAUUCUCCCCUCUCUGGUCAA